CUUACUUGAAGUGAAGAUGCAUAGGCUUAGAAUUACACGAUUAGUCGUUGUUGGGAUCCCUCCCUUGGGCUGCAUGCCCUUUUUCAAGACCCUAACGGAAAUAUGUUGUUAGGAUGCUGUGAACAACCCCAAAAAAUAUGGUUUGGCUGAAACUUCCAAAGGAUGUCGUGGAACGGGGACAGUAGAAUAUGGAGAUACAUGCAAAGGCAUGAGCACAUGCGCUGAUGCAUCAAAAUAUGUACUCUGGGAUGCUGUUCAUCCAACAGAAAAAAUGUAUGAAAUAGUCUUUGACCAGGCCAUAGAUUCUCUCCGAGAACAGCUGAUAGGCUAGCUAGCUGGGAUUUUAGAUAGAUCGAGAAAGUAAUUAACUAUGCUUUCACUAAGGUCUGAGUAGUUACAAGAAAAUGUUUGGUUAGACGUUUCAGUUUGUAUCGUUUGGUUAAUCCAUGUACCACGUUUAAAAUUGCAUCCAGAAAGACAUGAUUAUGUGACUUUUUCCUGUCUCUUCUGCAUGCUUAUGACCUCAAGCCAUGAUCGCCAUAUAAAUGUUUUGCCGAUUCAAAUAAUCGGUCUUAGAUCAUGUAUCCCUCAAUGAACAGAA
This is a non-coding RNA of Durio zibethinus, 601 nucleotides long. NCBI's taxonomy places the organism in Eukaryota, Viridiplantae, Streptophyta, Magnoliopsida, Malvales, Malvaceae. The record is from RefSeq and is a predicted model, not a curated record.